This 232-nucleotide long non-coding RNA is filed under the name Phoenix dactylifera (date palm). RNAcentral describes it as "long non-coding RNA (PDAC_LNC013020)". The record is from RNAcentral. Lineage: Eukaryota; Viridiplantae; Streptophyta; Magnoliopsida; Arecales; Arecaceae.
CCUGUUGUAGAUAUGGGUUGACCAUGGAUGGAUUGGGAAGCAGGUAUAUAUAUAUAUGUGCAGAUCAGUUGUGUGCCUGUGAUGAUGUAUUGCGAUAUCUUGUCCAGGUUUAUAUUGUAGCAGGUUAUAUGUGCUGCUCUGACAGGUGGGGUUGUGUAUGUAUUGAUAUAUCCUGACAGGUAAAUAUAGAAAUAGGAAAAGUGAUCAUUUUGUGCAUGUAUCAUGCCAAAAU